CAGUCCAUCCGUUGAGCAGAGGCAUUCUAAAGACUACACAUCCUGCUGCCUCAGGUGGACAGGUGACACCUGAUUAACUGCAGGAGUUAGUUACUCUCGCGCAGCAAGCUGCUGGACACCCUCCAAAUAUGGCCGUCACCACCAUAAAGGACAUGACCUCGACAUUUCUGAGCCAGCAAUUAAUUUACGUCACAGAAACAAAAUCCAAUUCAGUGGUGUGCACGCGCCACACCUCUUGGUGGAAGAGAGUAAUCCUCUAGUUUUGUGGAGGCCUACGUGACUGUUAUGACCAUAAUUGUCGACCUGGAAAACACAUAGCCUUGUCAUGCUGUUGAGACAGAGACUGUGGAAGAUGUUCGAGCCCAGUGCUGGAAACUCUCUAUGUCGUAGCCAUCUGCAUUGGCUUUUUGCUGCCUGGGACGGAUGCUUGGCGGAGCAGUUCUCAAUGUUACAGCAGGUGUUCCUGGAAGAUCGACCCGCAGGUGAACCUGUCGAGUUUGGGCUAGGCCUUUCUGGACCAGACCCUGGUUGAGUGCUCAUGGAAACGGUCCUCAGCAGUUCCAGAAGGAGAAACCGAGGAGAACGGGGGCGGAACAUUCCAGAAGGUGGGUCAUCGCCACUUCCUGGCUCUGUUAAAGCGCCCUUUGACGCGUGGAGAGCUCAUGUGUUUUCAGCGCAUCGGACCUUGUUGCCAGACGCAGUUAGUGGAGUCAAAUCCAAGGGCGUUCCGUCCAUUGCUGAUACCGGGGAAUCUGUGACCACAAGAGGGCGCAGCUAUUCCAAGAUGCUCGUGUUCUGUUAUGCGGUGCGUUGCGUGAUCCCGAUACUUAGAAGGGAAAGCACGGCGUGAACAGCUUAUCCUUCUCGGGUGUCAAGAUGGAGGAGAUGGAGCUUACAGAAACGCACGUGCUCAAAGGUAAGGCAAACCAGACCACGUGCUGUCACAUUUACCACACUGGCAAGCAAUGUAAUGACUCUGCAGAAUGACGCAAUCCAGGCAACUUCUGUAAAAACAACCAACGGCCGAUGGCAAGAAAAAAAAUGUAAUAAAUAAAU
Molecule: long non-coding RNA, 1056 nt
Organism: Anguilla rostrata (American eel)
Lineage: Eukaryota; Metazoa; Chordata; Actinopteri; Anguilliformes; Anguillidae
Exons: 6
Source: RefSeq, a predicted model, not a curated record